Molecule: transfer RNA, 97 nt
Filed under: Lucilia cuprina (Australian sheep blowfly)
Lineage: Eukaryota; Metazoa; Arthropoda; Insecta; Diptera; Calliphoridae
Description: tRNA-Tyr for anticodon GUA
Rfam family: tRNA
About the family: Transfer RNA (tRNA) molecules are approximately 80 nucleotides in length. Their secondary structure includes four short double-helical elements and three loops (D, anti-codon, and T loops). Further hydrogen bonds mediate the characteristic L-shaped molecular structure. tRNAs have two regions of fundamental functional importance: the anti-codon, which is responsible for specific mRNA codon recognition, and the 3' end, to which the tRNAs corresponding amino acid is attached (by aminoacyl-tRNA synthetases). tRNAs cope with the degeneracy of the genetic code in two manners: having more than one tRNA (with a specific anti-codon) for a particular amino acid; and 'wobble' base-pairing, i.e. permitting non-standard base-pairing at the 3rd anti-codon position.
Source: Rfam by way of RNAcentral
CCUUCGAUAGCUCAGUUGGUAGAGCGGUGGACUGUAGUGCAAUUAAACUAAAUACAUAGACAUCCAUAGGUCGCUGGUUCAAAUCCGGCUCGAAGGA